CGCGUAGGCGGCCCGGCAGGCCGGGGGUCGAAGCGGGGGGCUCAACCCCCCGAAGCCCCCGGAACCUCCGCGGCUUGGGUCCGGUAGGGGAGGGUGGAACACCCGGUGUAGCGGUGGAAUGCGCAGAUAUCGGGUGGAACACCGGUGGCGAAGGCGGCCCUCUGGGCCGAGACCGACGCUGAGGAGCGAAAGCGUGGGGAGCGAACA
This 207-nucleotide ribosomal RNA is filed under the name uncultured bacterium. RNAcentral describes it as "partial 16S ribosomal RNA". It matches the Rfam family "Bacterial small subunit ribosomal RNA", at positions 568 to 774 of the family's 1533-position model. The record is from RNAcentral.